Molecule: RNA transcript, 8926 nt
Organism: Magallana angulata
Lineage: Eukaryota; Metazoa; Mollusca; Bivalvia; Ostreida; Ostreidae
Gene name: dedicator of cytokinesis protein 9-like
Exons: 60
Source: RefSeq, a predicted model, not a curated record
GUUAUCUUUUUGAGGGAUGUUAGCUAGAUGAGGAGCCACGUACUAUUAAAGGCAAUUGCUUCAUUGUUUUACACAAGCAAGCUUUGUUCUGCAUUGAGGAGGAUGGAAUAUUGUGUUAAGACAAGUUGGAAGUAAAUUUACUGGAUUCUGGUUGUGUGUGUGUCUGUGUUUGAGACCUGAUAUGAAUAAGAAGAAGAAAUUUACUUUACCUCUGCCACAGAGGUCGAUAUCCAUUGAGAUUAACAACAAUUAUGACUAUUCCAGUCCAGAUAAAGGCGGUGUGGUGGCCAGACCUAAGCAGGUAGACCCUGUGGACUAUGAGACGUACAUUGCCAAGAACAAGAGCAUCCUCCACAAUGAUCCACAGAGAGAGAUGCUCACAUUCCCCUACGAUGACAUCGUCAUUCCGCCCCCAAAUCCACCCAAGAAGAUGCGUACCCUAUACUCCACCGUUCCUGAUUCGGCAUUAGACGAGGCCAAAGAUCUGCUGGUUCGACAGUGCAUCAAGUCGUACACAGACACUUGUCAUGUUGUCAAGUAUAAGUACAAUGCCUAUGCUGGGAGAUAUGAGAAACUUCCAAACAUUAGGCAAACUGACCCCCUACCCCACCACACAUUUGAGAUUGAUGCUGAACCUGAGGAUAAAGGAGAUGAGGACACCAGAAGUUUGACAGCUAGUAUUCAGAAGACAGGAUGGCUGUACAAAGGUCCUGAUGGAGGGAAAGAGAACAUCAUUAGCUUCACAAGGCAAUUCAAGAAGAGGUAUUUUGUGCUGAAACAGGAGUCGGAUUUCACCUUCAGUUUACAAUUCUACAAAGAUGAGAAGAAAACAGAUGCCAAGGGGGCCAUCUUUAUGGACUUGGCUGUGGAGGCAAAGCCAAACUCGAAGAGAGGGAAGCACUGCUUUGAGGUCCACACAAAUGACAGGCCACCUUAUGUGUUCGCCGCGGAGACAGAGGCUGAUAUGAACGACUGGAUCAAAGUGUUGAACAAGGUCAUCAACGCGGCAGAGACCGCCUCCAAUGUCUCCAUGGAGAAGAGCAGAGAUGAAAUGCAUACACCAGACAAAUCUAAUGAAAAGUCUGAAGUCAGCAUGCAUCCCGAAUUAGCAAAGUACAACAGAGAAAGUGAAACCAUGCUCACAAAAGCAAGAGAAGAGGGCAGACAUAACCUGUAUAGAGUUUAUCCCAAUAUUCGGUUUCACUUUGAUGAGGACGAUGAGGAGGAGGGAGGUGGAGAGAGGCCUGAGGAGAUUGAGGUGUUUCCCUCCACACACUGCGACCGCUACAUGAUGAGGCUGGUCGACUUCAAACUCAAAAUGCAGGCCAACUUGGCCGAGGAGGGAUUGGGUCAGAAGUUCACUAAUCCUGAACCUUUCUUUCUAAGUUUUGCAUUGUAUGAUGCCAAGGAAGGAAAGAAGAUUUCAGAGGAUUUUUACAUAGACCCAAAUGAGCUUGAGAUCAAAAAGAUGAUUCCAGAUGAGGUCCUAUGUGCCUCAGACAAGCUCAACACAGUAGAGGGAAAGAACUCUGCCCCACAUCUCUUCAACCUGUCUGAAGAAUGGCUGCUCAAAAAAGACAGACAUGGUGUGUUCUCGGUGACAUCCUGCCAUGCGGAGGUGUACCUGUUUGUGAGGAUAGAGAAGGUCCUACAGGGCUCCCUGUCCCAGGCCUGUGACCAGUACCUCAAGGCUCCCUCCGGAAACAAAAUCUACAAACAGAUGAAGCAGUUCUGUUCACAGAUCGGACAUCACCGCAUGCCAUUCGGAUGGGCAGCUAGACAGCUGAUUAUUGAAUCUAAUGGCCCAGCAGAGAUGAAAAUCUUCAGGCAAGAAGGAUCCAAGUUUUCAGAACAGGAAGUUAUAAAGAUUCUACAAGACUUGAAAAAACCAGAAAAGCAAGGAAAACUUCAAGAGAUUCCAGGAACUCUGAAAGUGAUAAUCCACAAAACAAGCCCAGAGCAGCCUUUACAAAAGUACUACAAAUAUGAUACCUUAACUUCCUCCCUCGUGCCAAUCAAGCCAUUUCCUAUCCCCCCGCCUGACCCCCCAGCAAUAGAGGUGGAGCAGUUUGUCCUAGAUAGAGCCUCAUUUUGUGAUACAUACGACUCUUACAUCAAUCAUCUUUACGUAUAUCCCAUGAACCUUAGAUAUGAGCAUCAAAAAUCAUUCGCCAAAGCUAGAAAUAUAGCAUGUUGUGUAGAGAUUAGAGAUUCCGAUGAUGAAAAUGCCAUUCCAUUGAAGCGUAUCUAUGCCCGUCCAGAAGUAGGUGUGUUUACAACUGUAGCCAGCGCCACUGUCCUCCAUCACAGCACUUCACCCGACUUCUUAGAAGAGGUGAAGAUAGCCCUCCCCACUCAGUUACAUGAUAAGCACCAUAUAUUGUUCCGGUUCUACCACGUUAGUUGUGAAGGCUCAAAGUCUAACCGUAGUUCCACGUCUUCCGUCAAGAAACGAGACAACAUUGAGACUCCGGUCGGGAUCGCCUGGCUCCCACUGCUCACCCAGGGCAGGGUUACAGUGGGAGAGCAGAAUGUCCAGGUGGCAGCUUGCACAGCAUUACCCAAAGACUACCUCUCCACUAAAUCCCCUGACAGGACGGCUCCGGCACCAGAUAUCAAAUGGGUCGAUAAUGGUAAACCAAUAUUUAGGGUCAAAGUUCAGCUACAUUCAACAGUUUACACAAAGGAUCAGCAUUUACACAACUUCUUUUACCAUUGCCAAAAAAUUGAGAAUGCGUUGAUGCCAGGGACAGAUGUGGACAGCUUAAAUAAACUGAAGCUUGACAAGCCUACCCUGGAUUUGGAGAAAACCUUUCUAUCAAAUUCUACUAAGUCCCUCCAUGCUGUGGAUGUGCUGACGUACGUCCAGUUUCUACCCACCCUGUUAAACCAGCUCUUCUCCCUGCUUGUGAAGACAGUCAGCGACGACGUCGCCCUCAAUGUGGUCAAGGUUCUAAUCCACAUUGUGUCGGAGGUUUCUCUUGUUGACAAACAAGAUGCUCUCAAGAGUUAUGUCAAGUAUGUAUUUAGCCCUGAGCCCGUCCCUAAGGGCACCAAGGGGGCCCAGACGGUACACGAGGAGCUAGCCAAGAACCUGACCACCAUCCUACGGCCGGCUAAUGCCGACAACGUGGUGGUCUGUAAGUUCCUGAAGUAUUCCUGGUUCUUCUUUGAGAUCCUGAUCAAGAGCAUGGCUCUCUACCUCAUUAGUACCGACAGGAUCAAGAUGCCAAGGAAUGAGCGGUUUACAGCAGAUUACCAGUACAGAAUACAGAACCUACUACAAACACUGACCCCCAAUAUCAUACAGAAGCAGAGGGAAAUGCCCCGCGAAACCAAGAUAGCCAAUCAGAGCCUAGCCAUGUUUGUAAAGCGCUGUUUUACUCUGAUGGACAGAGGAUUUGUAUUCAAGAAUAUAUCUGCCUAUGUGGAACAGUUUGGACCUGGAGACUCCAAGCCCCUGUAUGAUCUGAAGUUUGAGUUUCUGAGUGAGGUGUGCUCCCACGAACACUACAUCCCCCUCUGUCUCCCCAUCAUGAGGAAAGGCAUGAUCAAGUCCUUCAAAGACAUCAAAUUAGAAGAUCUGAAAUGUGACUACACACUGUCCGAGGAGUUCCGAAAGAACCAUUACCUUGUGGGAUUACUGCUACAGGAGGUUAAGAUGUGUAUGAACGAGCCCAAAGAGGUCCGAAGGCAUGCCAUCCACCUGUUGAGGAACCAGAUCGCCAAACAUUCCUUUGAUGAUCGAUACACUUCCAAGACUCUGCAAGGGAGGAUAGCAGCAUUGUACCUCCCUCUGAUCUCCAUACUGAUGGACCACAAACACCAUUUAGUGGAGGACCCCAGUGCCCCGCCCCCCUCUCAGGCCCCAACCAUAGUGGUGAACGGGGACGUCCAGUCCGUCAAACAGGAGGGUCGGCCCAGGACCCCCCAGAUGAGCCAAAAGUCUGUAACCUUCGAUGCUCCAGCGACACAGAGAGAGUCCAAAGUGUUUGCCAUGAUAGCUGGGCAUGGACCGCCGUUACAAUCCCUGUCAGAAAUGAAGGCUCAGAUGAUGAACGGAUCAGCUGGUUCCCUCUCCCGAACAAACAGCACUUCCUCUGUCGACAAAACAGAAGUUAAAACCAACGAAAAAGUCCAUAGGAGAACUUCUUCCAAUCAGAACAUCAAGGAUUCGGCCUCGGACAUCUCCAGUACCCCGAAGCCGUCAAAGAUCCUGAUGAAGUACCAGAAGCUGGACAUCAUGGAGGUGAAGGAUCUGUUGCUCUGCUUCCUCCACAUCAUCAAGUACCUGCCAGACGAUAUUCUUCUGGGAUGGUUUCACAAUUCAUCAGAAUUUGACAUCAUUGAUUUCUUCAGUAUACUGGAGGUGUGUCUUAAAAAUUUCCAGUACCAAGGAAGGAAGAAAAUUGUUGACCUUAGUGUGAUAGGUGACAGCACCAAAGCCUCUACCAUGCCUAUGAACAGAAGAUCUGUCCCCAGCCUGACCCCCCGGGCUCUAAGUCAGUAUGAGGGCAUGGGAGAACCAGGCCAUAUGUCCACUCCAUCCGAGGGCAAUGCUGUGAUGAAGGCCCUACAGGAGGCCAACAUGUCUACUGAGGUGGGACUGGUGGUUCUAGAUAUCCUGGCCCUCUACACACAGACAUUCAAGCGUAACCUGGAACACAAGGACGGGGACAACAGUUUGAUGAAGAAAGUGUUCAGUCUGUACCUGAACUUCCUCCAGACCAGCCAAUCAGAAUCUCUACAGAAACAUGUGUUUGCCUCAUGGAGGUCUUUCAUUAAAAAGUUUCAACCAGUUUUAUUCAAAGGAAAUGCAUCUCUCUGUGGUGACCUGUGCUAUGAGGUGUUACGAUGCUGUAACUCAAAGUUACAAUCAACCAGGAAAGAAGCUUGUGCUCUUCUUUACCUACUGAUGAGGAACAACUUUGAAUUCACCAAGAAAAAGAACUUUACCAGGGUUCAUUUGCAGGUGAUAAUCUCAGUAUCUCAACUGAUCGGGGGCGUGGUCGAGCUCAGUAACUCGAGAUUCACAGACAGUCUUGCCAUGAUCAACAGUUACGCGGCCAGUGAUAAAGCCAUGCAGCCAUUAAGUCCAUUUGCUAGUCUGGUCGGGGGAGUGUAUAGACAUGACAGAGAGACUCGAGUCAUUUUGAAGGAUUCGGCCUACAAUGGCUUCUGUGCAGAGCGAAGGGGUGAUGGCAAAGGACGCAAAAAGGGCAGUAAAGAGAGAAGUGGCUUCCCCUCUGAGGUCAAAGAUUUGACCAAGAGGAUCCGUACUGUGCUGAUGGCCACAGCUCAGAUGAAGGAGCAUGAGAAUGACCCCGAGAUGUUGAUUGACCUUCAGUACAGCCUGGCUAAGUCCUACGCCACCACUCCCGAGCUCAGGAAGACGUGGCUCGAGUCCAUGGCCAAGAUACACCGCAAAUACGAAAACUUCUCAGAGGAGGCCCAUUGUUUCAUCCACAUAGCUGCAUUAGUUGCUGAAUAUCUGAAGAAACGAGGCAAAUUAAAAUCACGGUGUUUCCCCCAGGGCUGUACAGCCUUUGGUACUAUUACCCCUAACGUGGAAGGGGAUGAAUCCGGAAUCAAGGACGACUCGGGGAUGCAGGAUGUGCAAUAUACAGAGGACACAAUGGUAGAGUACUUAGAGAAAGCCUGCAGGUCCCUCGAGAUGGCGGAGAGAUACGAAGUCCUUGGAGACAUCUAUAAACUUAUCAUUCCUAUUUACGAAUACUCAAGAGAUUUUGAUAAACUGGCCAGUUCUUAUGACAGCUUAUCCAAAGCUUACACAAAGGUUGUGGAUGUAACAGCUUCUGGGAAGAGGCUGUUAGGAAAAUACUUCCGAAUCGCCUUCUUUGGGUCCUCAUACUUUGUUGAAGAAGACGGCAAGGAGUAUAUAUACAAAGAGCCAAAGGUCACGAGUCUGGCCGAGAUUUGUGAGAGACUCAAGAAUAUGUACAGUGAGAAGUACGGCAAAGACACUGUCAAACUCAUCAUGGAUUCCAAUAAGGUAAACCCCGGUGAGCUGGACCAGAAGUUUGCCUACAUCCAGGUGACACACGUCACACCUUACUUCGAGGAGAAGGAACUCCAGAAGAGGAUCACAGAGUUUGAGAGGAACAACAACAUCAAGAGGUUCAUGUUCGAGACUCCGUUCACCAAGGCAGGCAAAGCUCGGGGAGAGAUCCACGAACAGUUCAAACGCAGAACCAUUCUGAUCACUUCUCACAGUUUCCCGUACAUGAAGAAGAGAAUAGAGGUGGUGAAGAAGACAGACUCUGUCCUCCAUCCGAUAGAGGUGGCCAUUGAUGAGAUGCAGAGUAAGGUGGUGGAUAUCAGGGAGGUGGUCAACCUGUCACGGCCCGACCUCAAAAAACUACAGCUCAGGCUCCAGGGCUCCGUCAGUGCUCAGGUCAACGCAGGUCCAAUGGCUUAUGCACAGGCUUUCCUGACCAAAGAGAAAAAGAUGAUGUUCCCCCUAGAGAAAACUGACACAUUGAAAUCAAUAUUUAAGGACUUUGUGUAUGUGUGCUCUGAUGCCUUAGAACUGAACGGUACGCUGAUCACCACGGAACAGAAGGAAUACCACGAGUCUCUGGCGGCGGGAUUCCAGGACAUCGUGGACAAACUCUCAGACAUGUUGGAGGAAAAGUUUUAUAUAUGAGACGAUAUCGAGGAACGUAAGGCGCUCUGUGUCAGACAUCAAGACGACAAAGCCAAAGAUUUUAGCCGGGGAGCAGGGACUCACCCCGAGAGGAUCAGCCGUCUUUAACAUUGUUAGCGCCACCUCGGACUUCAGUUCAGCGUAAACUCCCUUCAAACAACCCGACCUGUGAAAAGGCAAAGGUAUAGGAGUAGAGGAAACUAGAGAACCCAGUAUCAAGUGGUGGUGUAUCGUGCACCGGAGGAUCUUCCAUGUUGAAUCUUUUUUCUUUAUUUUUUUGUGUAUGCAAGAUUUGCACUCAUGUGACAAGGCUUUUGUAAUUGUGAAAAUCAUAUCAUAUUUUGUUUAUCAAUUUUUUUUUCUUUCUAUUUUUACAUUGAUAUACAUAUAAAAGAAUAUUUAAUUGUGAAGAUUUGAAUGGAUGGCCUAAAGAUUUCUUUUUUGGCACCACAGAAUGUCUUUUCAGAUUGUUCAUUUUGUUUUAUAUAUAUAUAAUAUAUAAAUAUAUAUGUGUGCUUCUGUACCAAUAAAACUUAUUACAUGUAUUUAUAUAUCAAAGUGGUACAUAUAUCUUAACAAAUUCCUUAGGGCUAGUUAUGCAUAGAUAAUAUUUUGCUUUUUUUCUACUGAUGUCUGUGUAAGCAAUAAUUUUUUUUGUUGUGUUUGCAUUUGUUAAAUAUGCACUGAGUGAGUAAAUGUGUGUGUGUAGCAUUAACAGGCUUUUAAGCCACUGUGAAUAUAGAUGCACCAGUUAUCUGAUGAAUGUAACAAGACGAACAUAAUGGCCAUUUUUCCUCUGAGUGUCUCGCAGCACUUUUACUGUCUGUGUUAAAAGUAGUUAUUGAACAAAUGAUUUAGUGUAUGUCUCUCUACACAGGAUUCAUAUAAGAUGCAUCACCUAUUUCUCAACGACUGCACACUUCAAAAAUGGCCAGUUAAGACCCAUAUAAAAUGGUAAUUUCAUUUUGCGUAAUCAAUCAGGUGUAACUUUGAGUAAUUUGCUGAAUCUAUUUUACUACACAUUUUAAGAUAGGCAAUAAAAACAUUCUGCUUACAUCUUCUAUCAAUGAAAGGAUUUAAUAGUAGUAGCAGACACUAAAAUGUUACUGUGUGUAAAUGAAAUAUUCUAAAGUUGAUAGUUUUUGAAGUUGAAUGAAUCAAAAGCUCACUCUAGAAUACUCUGUGUAUUGGGGUAAAAACUAUAUAGCUCUAAGGUUCUUUUUUUAUUGCACAACCUUCACAGUUCAGCUUUUAAAUGUGUAAAAUUUCACACAUUAACAAUCACACUUUUUAACUUCUAUGUCCUUUUCAGGAGAUAAAUCUUUCAUUUGCAUGUGCUUGCCUAUUUCUGGCCCAUGUUUUAUGGAUUACAGAUCAGAAGUGUGUUAGAGCGCAGGCAGCCUCGCAUUUAGAGAGAACUGCAAAGCUUCCAUCAUGGUCGCUACCUUUAUAGGUGUGUCAAGUACAGGAAAUGUUCUUUCACUGUUACGAUCUUUUUAUAGAUAAGCGAUACCAUGUAAAGGUUUACUAUGUCGUGUACUUAUCUCGGUAUUUAACUUUACGUAACACACUAUCUCAUUUUCUUUUCUUUUUUUGAAGAAUUUUUAUUACAGUAUUUGUUAAAAACAUGCUAUCAAGAGAGAGCAUGCAUAUAGAGGACUGAAAAUACAACAUUAUGUAAUCGAAGCGGUUCAUAUAGGGUCUUUUGAUGUUUACCAAGUUUGAAUUUUUAUCUGUAUGCAAUUGUAUAGACACACAAUAUCACUUUUGAAUAAAUAAUCAAGCUUUUGUUUUCACAAGGGUAUAUUGUGAGCUCAGAUUCAUCGAUUCAUUGAUCAUCGUGCAGUAGUUAUCAAGUUUUACAGUGCCACUUCUCUCGGUUCUAUUCACCAUGAAUCGACGAACGCAUCAUCAUAAUUAUCUAUAAUUUAGCAAUUUUCCUCUAGAGUAGGGCUGUUCAAUUGACAAUAAUGAUCUAUGUAUAUUUUUUUUUUUCAAAGUAGCUUCAUUAACUCAAGACUUGGAGAAGAUCAGAGGGAUACGUGUUCCUCGACAGUAUCUUCUGAAGACUAUUGAUAACUGUGCGUGUUGUAAUGAAAAUUAUGCAUUUUAAUCUACUGCGACUGUGAUAUCUGUAAUAAUUUCAGUUUUUUGCUUUAUGUGGGCAAUGUAUCACAUUCACUUUAUACUAUGACGUAUUUUGUUGGAAAAUGUACUGAUGAACACUUAAUCAAGUAAAAUCGUGAAACUCUGAAAAAA